CAGUCGCCGCGGUAACACGUAGGUGGCAAGCGUUGUCCGGAAUUAUUGGGCGUAAAGGGCUCGCAGGCGGUUUCUUAAGUCUGAUGUGAAAGCCCCCGGCUCAACCGGGGAAGGUCAUUGGAAACUGGGAAACUUGAGUGCAGAAGAGGAGAGUGGAAUUCCACGUGUAGCGGUGAAAUGCGUAGAGAUGUGGAGGAACACCAGUGGCGAAGGCGACUCUCUGGUCUGUAACUGACGCUGAGGAGCGAAAGCGUGGGGAGCGAACAGGAUUAGAUACCCCCGUAGUCCCUGUCUCUUAUAA
Molecule: ribosomal RNA, 301 nt
Filed under: uncultured bacterium
Lineage: Bacteria
Description: partial 16S ribosomal RNA
Rfam family: Bacterial small subunit ribosomal RNA
Source: RNAcentral